AGAAGAGUCAUCGUCUGUCGUUCUGAUAUGGAGUCUUUGCCCGACCAAGUGAUGUUAGGAUAUUUCAGUUAUCCUGUACAAGCUUUUGUACCGAAUACAUUAUGGUUGUUACAGGUGUCAAGCUUAUGGGCAUGUGGCAGCAGUGUGUAGGAGGGAGGUUCCUAGGUGGCAGCAGUGUGUAGGAGGGAGGUUCCUAGGUGGCAGCAGUGUGUAGGAGGGAGGUUCCUAGGUGGCAGCAGUGUGUAGGAGGGAGGUUCCUAGGUGGCAGCAGUGUGUAGGAGGGAGGUUCCUAGGUGUGAGAAGAGCAUGAGACAAAGGAAUGUGUAGCAUUGGGGAAAGUAGUGGUAUGUGUUAAUUGUAGGAGUGCCUAUGGGGUCUGGGGAUCAGACAUGUCCCCGUAAGAG
Long non-coding RNA from Oncorhynchus tshawytscha (Chinook salmon), 404 nucleotides. The record is from Ensembl. Lineage: Eukaryota; Metazoa; Chordata; Actinopteri; Salmoniformes; Salmonidae.